GACAUGGGGAAGGGAAGGAAUACAUUUAUCUGUGUUUGGGAAAGUGGAAUGACUCAGGAAGGCUUCACAGAUUAUGUGCCUGGAUUAUGAAGAACAAUAUGUUUUCUCAACAGGCAAGCACUUCCCACUCCCUGCUGAUGCUGAAUGGCUUUUCAUGGAAGCACUUAACAGUGGUUGUAGAAGGACUGCCAUUUUUUUCUACAUGGCUCAUGGGGACCCAGCUGUGAUGGCAGUGCUGAUCCACAACCCAACAGUAUGGGCUUUCUCCACCCACACUCUUUCUGGGUAAUUGCUAGGGAAGAUUCACAUCACUUCAGGAUUCUUCAAUGGACCCACUUAAACAUGAGUUAAGUAACUACCUAUGGAAGCAUUCAUUUGUUGUGUGCUUCCUGGAUAUCAGGCACCAUGACUAGCACUGUGCAGGCCCUCUCUUGCUUCUUAAUUCUCACAGCAAACCUUAAAAAAGUAUAUUACAAUCCCUGUAUUGAUAAUGAAGAAACCAAGAUGCAGAGAGGUUAAAUAGUUAUUCAUCUGUCAUUCAGCUUGGAAGUGCCAGAGAGGCAAUGAUUGACUUGUGUCUAGAGCCUACUACCUGGAAGGCCAGACCAAACCCCCUGUGUCACCAGCAACUCAUGCCUUGCACACCAUGCACCAAGAAGUGUAUCCUUCAUCCAUCUGUUCAUAUUAAUUCCAUAUUUUCUGACUUCUUCUCUGGGAAGAACCUGUACUAGGCCCUGGAGAAUCAAAGAUGAAAGAGAUACAGCUCCACUUAUGAAUGGCAUGAGGAUCUCUGAUGUUCAAAGAGUGGACAAGAAAAAGAAACCUAAG
This 828-nucleotide long non-coding RNA is filed under the name Homo sapiens (human). RNAcentral describes it as "HSALNT0144385". Lineage: Eukaryota; Metazoa; Chordata; Mammalia; Primates; Hominidae. The record is from RNAcentral.